RNAcentral lists this ribosomal RNA (175 nucleotides) under uncultured bacterium. Its description in RNAcentral is "partial 16S ribosomal RNA". It matches the Rfam family "Bacterial small subunit ribosomal RNA", at positions 1325 to 1500 of the family's 1533-position model. The record is from RNAcentral.
GCCGGAAUUGCUAGUAAUGGCAGGUCAGCAUACUGCCGUGAAUACGUUCCCGGGCCUUGUACACACCGCCCGUCACACCAUGAGAGUUGGGGAUACCCGAAGCCUGUGAGCUAACUUAUAGAGGCAGCAGUCGAAGGUAGAAUCAAUGAUUGGGGUGAAGUCGUAACAAGGUAUC